AUUGAACGCUGGCGGCAUGCCUAACACAUGCAAGUCGAACGAGUGGCGGACGGGUGAGUAAUGUCUGGGACACUGCCUGCUGGAGGGGGAUAACUACUGGAAACGGUAGCUAAUACCGCAUACCAUCAGUGGUGCCCAGAUGGGAUUUGCUUGUUGGUGGGGUAACGGCUAACAAAGGCGACGAUCCCUAGCUGGUCUGAGAGGAUGACCAGCCACACUGGAACUGAGACACGGUCCAGACUCCUACGGUAGGCAGCAGUGGGGAAUAUUGGACAAUGGGCGAAAGCCUGAUGCAGCCAUGCCGCGUGUAUGAAGAAGGCCUUCGGGUUGUAAAGUACUUUCAGCGGGGAGGCGUUACCCGCAGAAGAAGCACCGGCUAACUCCGUGCCAGCAGCCGCGGUAAUAC
Molecule: ribosomal RNA, 406 nt
Filed under: uncultured bacterium
Lineage: Bacteria
Description: partial 16S ribosomal RNA
Rfam family: Bacterial small subunit ribosomal RNA
Source: RNAcentral